Molecule: long non-coding RNA, 2416 nt
Organism: Beta vulgaris subsp. vulgaris (sugar beet)
Lineage: Eukaryota; Viridiplantae; Streptophyta; Magnoliopsida; Caryophyllales; Amaranthaceae
Exons: 3
Source: RefSeq, a predicted model, not a curated record
UAUUUAGAGAUCAUCAUGAGUUCAUUUUUUAUUUUUUUUCAUUUUAUUGUUACUACUUAAUUUGGAUGAUUAUUAAUUGAGUUAACCAUACAUCAAGGAUCUAAAGUUGUAAGUUUAUAUUAUUUUAUUUAUUAAUGAGAUGGAUUUUUUUAGACUAAUUGUCAAGGACUUUAAAUUGGAUGUUUGUUAUAGGGUGUUAAUAAUGGUUAUAUUAGGGCUUUAACGAUAUAAAUAUCAAACUUGAGUUCAUUAUCUAUAAGAAUUUAUUUUUCACGAAAUAAGAUUUGACAAGGACAAUCCAAAAGGAUACUUGUGGCAAAUUUUGGGUGACAAAUAAUGUCCGGGUCAAUAUAAGUAUAUGUAUUCGCCUCCAGAAAAUAUACGUAGAAGUAUAAUAUUAAUAUUUGGGAUUUUUGGUCAACAUGUUAGACCAAUUUUAGUUAUGAUUGAUCCAAGUCAAGUUUCGAAUCGAAUUGGUAUAGUUGAGUUUCUAGAUCCAUUUCAAAUCAAAAUGGGUCUUGAAUCGAGUAACUCAAAUCAGUUAUAUUGCUAGGUUUGACUUAUGUCUUUCUUCUUAUAUUAAUAUUAUUUUUGGGUUCCCUUUCAGGAACUGUAAUAUCCCGGAAAUUUAAACUUUCUUAAAUUAUAUAAUAAUAAUUAGUGGCUAAUUUUUUUUUUUUUUUUCAUUUAAUAAUAAGUUAUAAUCGAAAUUUCGUUAUUUUAUGUCCAAGUAAUGGAUAAUUAAUUUGUUAGAAGUAUAUAUUUAUUAUGUACGGCAAGAGUUGUAAUUAAUAACAAGUUAUGUUAAAUGAUCAAAGUAAGAAAACAAAAUAAUAAACAAAUUAGAUACACUACUAAUCCAAUAAUAUUGGAACAACUUUGUUAGUAUUUGAAAUAAAAAAAGGGAAAAGAAAAAGAGAAAAGAAAAGAAAAAGGAAAAAAAAAAAAAAAAAAAAAAAAAAAAACUCAAGAAAACAGUAGAAACUGUUUUCAUCAACGUUCAACCCAUUUUUCAUUUUUCCUUCACAAACAACCCAACAAUGGCAUUUCAAUUCAACCCAUGAAUAUCUAACUUAAAAUGGAUUAUUAUGCACAAUAAAACUCAACAACAGACUAUCGUUUCAUCAAACAUUCCAAACCAUUUUCAUAGUUUCUUCACAAACCAACCCAAGUACCCAACAAUGGAGUUUUAUUUAAUCCAUGAAUUAUUUUACACAAACAAAAUCAACCUCCAUUAAAAAUUCCAAUUCAAACCAAACCCAUCCAAGAAUACAAUUUUUAUCAAAUCAAACCCACCCAAAAUUUCGGUUUUCUUCAUCAAUUCGACCCAUCCAAAUUCUGAAAAUUUAACCCCCAAUAGUGGCUAUAAAUACCCAUGGCUACUUCACCAUUAUCAUCCAUUCACAAUCCUAAAUAUAUACUCGCCAGAAAACUACUACCCUCGCCGGAAAAGCCACCAAAAACGCCCCCAAAGUUUCUGUUUUUCCGCAACUCUCUCUCCUCUGUUUUCGAAGUCAGCCACCCUCGUACCACCGCGGCAUUCCUGCGCCUCCCAUGCGCCACCAUAGCACCACCUCACCGACGCCUUCUCUCUCCUCUCGCCUACACCCUCACUCGCUCGCCCCUUCUUUCUCCUUCUUCUCUCUCCCUCGCACCUCACCUUCGUCGUCCUCACGCUGCACCACCAGACUUCGUCGCUCGACGGAAGCCGACGAACACCAUCGUUCCACUGCUGUCGGAGCUCUGACCCCACCGCCGGCCAUUCUCCUUCCUCUGCCCUGUUUUCGUGCCUGCUCAAAAUGAGCAGAGAUUAAAAAGGAAGAGAUAUUACAAGCCUCCCCCGGCUUUCAAGGUUAUUAAGCAGGAAUCCAGGUAUGAGCAUAGCCAUUGCAAGUGCGCUGUUAAUAAGGAACAUGUUCAAGGGAAAGUGAGCGGUAUCUGGUGUUGGAGAAAUUAUUAUUAUUAUUUGGGUCGAGUAUUUAUGUAUAGAUAUCAAGGACUAUUUAAGGUUGCAUUGUAUUAGUGGGCCAUAUCCCACAUGCUUAAGUUCCAUUUCCGCUGCAAGUAUGUGCAAUUUGUGUUUGAUUAAGGUUAUGAAUUUUCGGGGCGUUACAGGAACCUUGUGGUAAGAAGAGUUCCUUUUGAUUACUCUCGCAUAGAGUCACUCACCCAGAAGCCCAACAAGUUCCAACCUACUCUCGCAACAUUGAAAUUUGCUUUCACCAAGAUUUGAACAUUGGUCUCCCAUGUGAGUGAUAUAAAGUCAUACUAUUAUUAGACCCCAAGGGUCUAUGUUGUGAGUAAAUUUCUAAUAUGAGGCUAUUUAAGUAAUAUAGAAUUGAUAUAUACAAAUGAUCUAAUUAACUAUUUUCAAAUGUAAAAUUAUAUACUUCAUAUACAAGAUUAUUAUUAUUAU